This 443-nucleotide ribosomal RNA is filed under the name uncultured bacterium. RNAcentral's name for it is "partial 16S ribosomal RNA". It matches the Rfam family "Bacterial small subunit ribosomal RNA", at positions 338 to 795 of the family's 1533-position model. The record is from RNAcentral.
CCUACGGGUGGCAGCAGUGGGGAAUAUUGGGCAAUGGAGGAAACUCUGACCCAGCAACGCCGCGUGAAUGAUGAAGGUCUUCGGAUUGUAAAGUUCUUUUAUAAGGGAAGAAGAAAGUGACGGUACCUUAGGAAUAAGCCUCGGCUAACUACGUGCAAGCCGCCGCGGUAAUACGUAGGAGGGAAGCGUUAUCCGGAUUUAUUGGGGUGAAUGGGUGCGUAGGCGGGCGGAUAAGUUAGAGGGGAAAUCUCGAGGCGCAAAUUCGGAAUUGCCUCUGAUACUGUUCGGCUAGAGAGUAAUAGCGGUAGGCGGAAUUUAUGGUGUAGCGGUGAAAUGCGUAGAGAUAAUACAGAACACCGAGUGCGAAGGCAGCUUACCAGGCUACUUCUGACGUUGAGGCACGAAAGCGUGGGGAGCAAACAGGAUUAGAUACCCUAGUAGUC